This 440-nucleotide ribosomal RNA is filed under the name uncultured bacterium. Its description in RNAcentral is "partial 16S ribosomal RNA". It matches the Rfam family "Bacterial small subunit ribosomal RNA", at positions 338 to 795 of the family's 1533-position model. The record is from RNAcentral.
CCUACGGGAGACAGCAGUGGGGGAUAUUGCACAAUGGGGGAAACCCUGAUCCAGCAACGCCGCGUGUGUGAAGAAGGUUUUCGGAUUGUAAACCACUGUUCUUGGUGAAGAUAAUGACGGUAUCUAACGAAUAAGCACCGGCUAACUCCGUGCCAGCAGCCGCGGGAAUACGGAGGGUGCAAGCGUUACUCGGAAUCACUGGGCGUAAAGAGCGCGUAGGCGGGAUAGCAAGUCAGAUGUGAAAUCCUAUGGCUUAACCAUAGAACUGCAUUUGAAACUGUUAGUCUAGAGUAUGGGAGAGGUAGGUGGAAUUCUUGGUGUAGGGGUAAAAUCCGUAGAGAUCAAGAGGAAUACUCAUGGCGAAGGCGACCUGCUAGAACAUAACUGACGCUGAUGCGCGAAAGCGUGGGGAGCAAACAGGAUUAGAUACCCCUGUAGUC